This 343-nucleotide unclassified non-coding RNA is filed under the name soil metagenome. RNAcentral describes it as "partial contains 5.8S ribosomal RNA, internal transcribed spacer 2, and large subunit ribosomal RNA". The stretch from base 1 to 120 matches the Rfam family "5.8S ribosomal RNA", at positions 35 to 154 of the family's 154-position model. The record is from RNAcentral.
GAUGAAGAACGCAGCGAAACGCGAUAAGUAAUGUGAAUUGCAGAAUCCAGUGAAUCAUCGAAUCUUUGAACGCACAUUGCGCCCGCCAGCAUUCUGGCGGGCAUGCCUGUUCGAGCGUCAUUUCAACCCUCGACCUCCCCUUGGGGAGGUCGGCGUUGGGGACCGGCAGCACACCGCCGGCCCUGAAAUGGAGUGGCGGCCCGUCCGCGGCGACCUCUGCGCAGUAAUACAGCUCGCACCGGGACCCCGACGCGGCCACGCCGUAAAGCACCCAACUUCUGAACGUUGACCUCGAAUCAGGUAGGACUACCCGCUGAACUUAAGCAUAUCAAUAAGCGGAGGA